AUGAAGGUACAGGGCAGAGAAAGAAGGAGAGGAUGGAAGAUGAUCAAGUACAGAUGAGAAACUAAGGUGCAGAGAGAUCAAGUGACUUGGCCAAGGUCACACAGGAAGUCUGUAGAAUGGGAACUGACCUCAGACCUCCCAAGUCCCAAC
Mauremys reevesii (Reeves's turtle) is the source of this 150-nucleotide long non-coding RNA. RefSeq lists it as uncharacterized. Lineage: Eukaryota; Metazoa; Chordata; Testudines; Geoemydidae. The record is from RefSeq and is a predicted model, not a curated record. The transcript has 3 exons.